UACGUAGGUGGCAAGCGUUGUCCGGAUUUAUUGGGCGUAAAGCGCUCGCAGGUGGUUCAUUGCGUCGUGCGUGAAAGACCCCGGCUCAACUGGGGAGGGUCGUGCGAAACGGGUGAACUAGAGGCCAGUAGGGGGAUGCGGAAUUCCGGGUGUAGUGGUGAAAUGCGUAGAUAUCGGGAGGAACACCUGUGGCGAAGGCGGCCCCCUGGUUGGAUACUGACGCUGAUACGCGAAAGCGUGGGGAGCAAACAGG
This 253-nucleotide ribosomal RNA is filed under the name uncultured bacterium. Its description in RNAcentral is "partial 16S ribosomal RNA". It matches the Rfam family "Bacterial small subunit ribosomal RNA", at positions 524 to 776 of the family's 1533-position model. The record is from RNAcentral.